GAAGCAGCCUGCCACCAUCUUGGAAGUGGCUCACCACCGUCUUGGGAGUUCUGUGAACAAGGACCCCUGGUAACAUUUUGGCGACCACGAAGGGACAUCCAAAGCUCUUAACUAAUGCUUGUGAUGUUUAACGCCUGUCUUUUCAACUUGGUCUACUGAGUCUUCAAUACUGGUGACUGAGCUGCUUGAAGUGAACUCUGGACAAGGUGGAGAGCAUCUUCUUGAUUUAAGAUUCACAGUUUCUGAAAGGACCAUGGACUAAUUGGAUCACAAGCAAACUGAAACAUUACAGGGUAAAUAUUAUUGUGAUUAGGAUUAUACAAAAACACCAUGAUGCCUCUCCCAACUUAGGGAAAUCAGUGAAGGUUUUCUUGAAGAAAAGUGUUAUGAACCAUUAGAAUAUUUGGGUAAAAGGACCAGACUGCCAGUACAGCCAACUGCUGUAAUAUGAAUGUUUUUCUUAUGUGGCUUAGUGAUUUUCUUUUUUAAAAGUGGAUAAUGAUCUGGAGAUAUUUUUAAACAAAUAAAUUGAACGCUAGGUUUUGAAGAGCUCUCUGGCAGCGCUAUAGAGAUUGGAUUGAGUUUGGAGGUACAUUAGAUUCACGAAGGCUAAUUAAAUGGCUCUGGCCAUAAUCCAGGGUUGAUAUGAAAAAGCUCUUAACAAAAGAAUUGGGGGUAGAGGUAAUAGGAAAUAUGAAGCAGUUUUGAGAGGUAUUUAAUAUAUUGAUGUGACCAAGUCGAAUGACUUGUUAAGAUAUCAUAAAUGAGAAUAUAAGAAGAGUCUAAGCAUUUUUUACACCAUAAAAUACAAACAAAAUAAUAAUAUUUCAAAACAUUUUGGAAUAUACAGAUAAACUUACAUUUAAUGAGAGAUAAUCAUCUGACAAAAGGGCAGAGAUGAACAAUAUCAAUCUAUACCUGCAACCAAUUUGGGACACACUAUAAUGGAAACCUCUCAAGAUUACUUCUGGGCUUCUGCUUAUGUAAGUAAGUGGAUUAAAGAUAGUACCUUCAAGUGCAUGUUUUGAGGACAGUAACAACUAAUGAGUAAAGUUUUGGACAAGUUAAAUAAAUCAAAGUACAGAUAUCCUGCAUGUUAUUACAAGUUUUGUUCUACAUUUCAGAAGACAGCAGUAGGAGAAGAGAGAGAUUUGAGGUUAUCAACAUUUAGGUAUUGGCAAAAAGCCAUGAGUCUCCUUAAGAUAACAAAGGAAAUAAGCGAAUUGAGUAGGUCAGUGAAAGAACCUAGAAAGCACUAAAGUUUCAGUGGUCAAAUUGAGAUGAGGAUCUAAGAAAGAAUACAAUCAAUAAACAUAAAAAGAAGUUAGAGGAGACCAGACAUUUUAUUAGACAAAUUAGAUAAAACAUGGAUGGUCACCAAUAGUAAAUGCUUCAGAAAAAUGAGGUAAUACAGAGCAACAACAAUAACUACCAUCACCACAACAACUAUUGAAAUCGGAAACUGAAAAUUCCUUGGUAACACUGGGAAGAACAGUGCUAGCUGGGUAAUAGGCAAGGUACUAAAAAAUUAAAUAAAUAUAAGAUUGGAGAUUAUAGACCAUAGGCUACUCUUUUAAGAACUUAUACGAUUUGGAGGAAAAGACAAAUACUUCAGUAGCUACACAAGAUGCAUUAUGAUAAGAUGACAGUACUUAUAUUUAUAUCUAAGUUCUACUGUAUUUAAAAAAGGGAGGUGUGGGCAAGAAUAAUUAGACAGGGAAAAAAAUGACAAUGAAGUUGAAGACAAGACAACUGAUGGAAUAAGACUCCCAUUGGGAAGAAGGUAUGUGUUUCAGAUUUUUUUAAAUGGAGAAAUUAUACUUCAGAAUAACAAAAACACCUUCAUUUAAGAUAGAAGGUUAAGGGGAAAGUGGUAUUACAAUGCAGAUAAUUUUCUAGUUUGAAAGGGUAAAAUAUUGAUGGAGUCUAUAUCUCAUUAAAGCUAUUUAAUUGUAAAUAAGGAUAUCUGCUGUGUAAAAUGUAGUCUCUGAAGUGCAGGCUUUGAGAAUCAAGGAGGGUUUUGAUUAAAGGAUAUUGAAUUGCUGUGUAAAAUUGAAAUUUUUUGUGAAUUUAGAGCUAUUGUCACAUGGUUUUGUCUCAUUAAAUUCAGAAGUAAGAUUGGGAAAAGCAAUAGGUUGAUUAAAACAAUAUGCAGGCUUAGGGAGUUGAAGAGGCAGACAACCAAGGAAUAAAGUGUUAAUGUUUGGGUGACAGAAUACUGUAAAUAAUAAAUAAAAAAAAUUACUACUGGGAAGAGAUUGUUUAGAAUAAAUAUAAUGAAAAAUAUGUUCUGAAAAUUAUAA
RNAcentral lists this long non-coding RNA (2303 nucleotides) under Homo sapiens (human). RNAcentral describes it as "HSALNT0373922". The record is from RNAcentral. Lineage: Eukaryota; Metazoa; Chordata; Mammalia; Primates; Hominidae.